CGGGGCAGCGCGGAUGCUCCCCUCCUAGGCGCGGCGUGUGCUGCCCGCCACCCGCCUAAAUCAUGGUGAUCAUGUCAGAGUAUACCUCCGUGCCCGCUGCCGGACAAGCCCAGCAGCGGCCCCUGCGAGUCGGCUUCUACGAUAUCGAGAGGACCUUGGGAAAAGGCAACUUCGCGGUGGUCAAACUGGCCAGGCACAGAGUGACCAAAACGCAGGUUGCAAUAAAAAUAAUAGACAAAACAAGGUUAGACCCAAGCAAUCUGGAGAAGAUUUAUAGAGAAGUUCAGAUAAUGAAGCUUUUGAAUCAUCCCCACAUUAUCAAGCUAUAUCAGGUUAUGGAGACAAAAGAUAUGCUUUACAUUGUUACUGAGUUUGCAAAGAAUGGAGAAAUGUUUGAUCAUCUGACCUCCAAUGGGCACUUAAGUGAAAGUGAAGCACGGAAGAAGUUCUGGCAGAUUCUUUCAGCGGUGGAAUAUUGUCACAGCCACCACAUAGUGCACAGGGAUCUCAAAACAGAGAACCUUCUGCUAGAUGCUAACAUGAAUAUCAAGUUAGCAGACUUUGGCUUUGGAAACUUCUACAAGUUGGGAGAGCCCCUCUCCACUUGGUGUGGAAGCCCACCCUAUGCAGCUCCAGAAGUUUUUGAAGGCAAAGAAUAUGAAGGACCUCACCUUGAUAUAUGGAGCCUUGGUGUGGUGCUGUAUGUCCUUGUCUGUGGUUCUCUGCCUUUCGAUGGACCCAAUUUACCAACUCUGAGACAAAGAGUGCUGGAGGGGCGGUUCCGCAUCCCCUACUUCAUGUCCGAAGACUGUGAAACACUAAUCCGACGGAUGUUGGUUGUGGACCCAACCAAGCGAAUAACCAUUUCCCAAAUAAAGCAGCACAAGUGGAUGCAAGCUGACCCGUCUCUUCAACAGCAGCAGUCUUUGUCCUUCUCCAUGCAAAACUACAACUCCAACCUGGGUGACUACAAUGAGCAGGUCCUUGGGAUCAUGCAAACACUUGGCAUUGACAGGCAGAGAACUGUUGAGUCUCUGCAAAACAGCAGCUACAACCAUUUUGCUGCAAUUUAUUACCUGCUCUUGGAGCGCCUCAAGGAGUAUCGAAGCAGCCAGCUAUCAAGUCGUCCAGCAACUGGCCGUCAGCAAAGGCCGAGGAGCUCCGAGAUCAGCAGUGUUGAGAUGCCUCAGGACAGUCUCACUAGUGAAACCCUGCGAUCAUCUCUGCUUUACCAGCAACCUCAGAGCCUGAUUCAGCCAUCCUUGCAGGCAGAAAUGGACUGUGACAUGAGCAAUCCAUUACAGCCUGUGUUCUUUCCUGUGGAUCCCAACUUCAACGGGCUCUUCCGGAACCGCUCCAUCUCCCCCAACAGCCUGCUGGAGACCACCAUUAGUGAAGAAGUAAGGCAAGAGAAGGAGCUGGAAGACGAAAUUAAGGCAUAUGACCACCCCAUCCGCAUCCCUAGCAACACCAGCAGGAGGCACACACUGGCCGAAGUGACCACUCAUUUCUAUCAGCAUGCCCCUCCAUGUAUAGUCAUUUCCUCUUCUGCAAGCCCCACAGAGGGAACUAGUUCAGACAGCUGCCUUACUUCAUCUUCAAAUGACAGCUCAGUGGCCCUGAGCAGCUGUUUGGCAGGUCAAGUAAUGACGGGGAGCCCAGCCACAGCUAGGAUGACGUCGCCCUUCCUAGCUUCCCACUCUGAUGCUCCGGUGUUACAAGCCCAGGGCUGCAUGGGAGGUGCUUCUCUCCUGCCUGUCAGCUUCCAAGAAGGAAGGCGAGCAUCUGAUACCUCAUUAACUCAAGGCUUGAAGGCUUUUAGGCAGCAGCUGCGGAAGAACGCUCGAGCCAAGGGGUUUCUCGGCUUGAAUAAAAUCAAAGGCUUUGCUCGGCAGGUGUGUCAGUCCUCCUCAUCUCGGGCAGCAAGGAGUGCGAUGAGCCCUUUCCAACACACGCAGCCGAACACCUGCAUGUACAGCAGCAGUGGGAGCAGCAGAGAGGGAAGAAGCCUCCUGGAGGAGGUGCUACAGCAGCAGAGAAUGCUCCAGCUCCAGCAUCACCAGCUACUCCAGACAGCUUGUCCCCAGACUUCUCAGACAUCUGCAACAAAUGGCGUCCCCUCCUCUGAUAGUGUACGUACCUGCAAAGCAUCCAAUUCUCUUCUGUUGUCAGAGCUACAAAGAGAGAACUCAUUUGAGCUGGCCUUUGCUGGCAACAGCCAACUGCUCCAACCUCAUUUCUUUGGUGUCAGUGUGUCACCAGUGUCCUCAGCAGCUCACCUUUUAGACACGCACCUGUACAUCAGCAGCAACGUUUCUCCAGUUGGCACCACCUUCUCUCAGCAGCAGAGUUUCUCUGCGCCGUCUCCAAGCUAUGAUGCUGUCACUCUGCAGCACGGGGAUUGUGAGAUGGAGGACCUGACUUCCAACCAGCUAGGGAAGUUCGUCCUGGUCAAAUGAGAGCCCCGGCUGCUACAGCUCACGCUGCUCUCGUUGUGAAGAACUUUCACCGCUGUUCCAUGGCGUGUGUGGGUCCACGGCUGGCUGGUGUCGUGUGGACGAGUGACUCUCGGAAGCAAUAAAUUUUGAAGUAUGUGAAGAGGCUGUCUGGCUCAGAAAGCUAGCAACUUUAUAGAACUGAAACAAGCAAUAUGGUCCAAACAGAACUGACUCUUGGGGAAAUGUGCAAUAUUGAGGUUAUAAUUAUAUACUGACAAAGACAAAAGGAAUAGGCUAGAACGGAAUUCUACUCUAAUGGAGUACAGCUAUUUCUGAACAAAACUGUAUUAAAAGUGAGUAAAACAGCACAAUCUUUGGGUGUUUGUUUUUGGUUGGUUUGGUUUUGGCAUAUUAGCAAAAUGAGAUUUUGGAUUAGAUAGGUGUUUUUUCGUAUGGUUUUUAAUGCUGUAUAUGUAUAUAAAUAGGAAGCAGAAAACUAUAUAACACUAGUUAUUUUUUAUAUUUUGUAAUACGCUUAUAUUGUGUUUCUGGUGUAAACCCCAGUCCCUUUCCAAGGCAGAGUAUGACUUCUGUUGGUAUCAACAGAAGUUGUGCUUAGGUAUAACGGGGAGAACAGACUGUGCUCCUACAGAAAUGAGUCGGGUAGGGCACGCAAACUUUGGAAGCAGGUGAGCAAACAGUGAGCCAGCUUGGCUGGAAGCUGCCAUCCGAAUGUCAGAAAAUAGCUGCAUUCUGCCUAAAUGCUUAAAGGACCCAUCUCCCUAGUGUGACACAGGGUGCCUUCAAGUUACCUUGGCUUCAUGCAACCUGCAGUAUUACGCAUUUGCAAAUAAUACAGAUACCUGUUUUUUUGUUUGUUUUGUUUUUUUAAAAAAAGAAAAAAGCCAAAGAUCGACCAGGUUAAUUGGUGGGAGUAGGAAGGGUUGAAGAUGUCAUGUGGCUCUGUCUGUGGCUCUCCAUAAAUGACCUCUUUAUCUGUGUGUUGUAUCUGUGUGUCUGUAUUGGUGCAUCUCCGGCUUGCCACUGCUGCUACGUGGUCUGGAAGCUUCAAAGUGAGAGAAAAUUGCUUGAGUUGAAUUUCUGUUAAUGAGUGGUGCCUUGCAGCAGAGAAAACACCAAAGUCUCAUGCUCAUUUGUAGUGGUUUAAAAAAAAAAAAAAACAGGAAAAAAAACCAACCCAAAAAGCAGAUUGCGUGGAGAUGACUGGAGAGGAGGGCAAGAAGAAGCCAGCUCAUCACAAAGCAGCAACUUUGCCUUCAGUUUUGUAAGGGGUAGCACACAUACUUAAAACGCAGAAUUUCCUCUUCAAUAUUUGUUUUGUUUAAUGCCAUGGAUCAAAAGGCCACAGAUUCUUUUGUUUCCUGUCCUGAGCAAUGACAAGCACUUUACUUUCAUAGUAUUUUUUUUUCUUUUCCAAUUGCUGUAGAACCUCUUUGGAAUUAUUGCUGGAGCAGAAAGAGGUCAUCUUAAAAGUCUGGGUUUUUUUGUAGAUAUCUUGACAGUGCUGUUCUGCAGACUGCAAUGCAAUAGGGUAUUUAAAGACACUACGUGAUUGGUUUAAUUGAGAUGUAUAGUUUAUUUUUUAUCAUGACUGCACAAUCAUUUUAUUUCUUAUGUUAAAAUGAGAGGUGUACACCAAAAUGAUUAGUUGAUGUGUUUUAUUUAAUAUUUAAAUAAAAAAUGUUUUAAAAUUGUUGUCCUGCA
Molecule: RNA transcript, 4163 nt
Organism: Gymnogyps californianus (California condor)
Lineage: Eukaryota; Metazoa; Chordata; Aves; Accipitriformes; Cathartidae
Gene: SIK1
Gene name: salt inducible kinase 1
Exons: 14
Source: RefSeq, a predicted model, not a curated record